Molecule: ribosomal RNA, 450 nt
Filed under: uncultured bacterium
Lineage: Bacteria
Description: partial 16S ribosomal RNA
Rfam family: Bacterial small subunit ribosomal RNA
Source: RNAcentral
CCUACGGGUGGCUGCAGUAAGGAAUAUUGGUCAAUGGACGAAAGUCUGAACCAGCCAUGCCGCGUGGAGGAUGAAGGUCCUCUGGAUUGUAAACUUCUUUUAUAUGUGACGAAAAAAGGCCUUUCCAGGUCGUCUGACGGUACCAUAUGAAUAAGCACCGGCUAACUCCGUGCCAGCAGCCGCGGUAAUACGGAGGGUGCAAGCGUUAUCCGGAUUCACUGGUGCGUAAGUGUGUGUGUAAGUCUGUGGAGAAAUCCCCGAGCUUAACUUGGGAACGGCCAUUGAUACUAUCAGUCUUGAAUACCGUGGAGGUCAGCGGAAUAUGUCAUGUAGCGGUGAAAUGCUUAGAUAUGACAUAGAACACCAAUUGCGAAGGCAGCUGGCUACACGAGUAUUGACACUGAGGCACGAAAGCGUGGGGAUCAAACAGGAUUAGAUACCCCAGUAGUC